UGAGACUGUCACACACAUUCAACAACGCUGUGAGGGUCCCUUCGGAAAUAUUUCGUUGAGCACUGGAAGGGUGUAUAUCUCCCGGAGCAGCCGUCUCUGUGGCUCAGACCGAUGUAAUAACCAGACAGUAGCAGAGCCUGUCAACACCACCCUGAACGGACUGCAAUGUUUCGGAUGCUACAGUCCAUCCAUGGCCUCCUGCCUGGCCAAUCUACAGAAGGUGGAGUGUGUGGGUCUGGAGAAUCGCUGUGUGAAUGGAACAGGCGAACAGAUAUUGUUGUCAGAUAUUGGUGAUGAUGUUGUAUUUAAAGGAUGUACUUCGGCGAAUGAGUGCGGAGCGUGGAUGGAUUUGGAACCGUUUGGUUUGUUGCUAAGCGACCUGUCCUGCUGUGAAGGCUCUUUGUGUAAUGGAGACACAGGGAUCACCACC
Hemiscyllium ocellatum (epaulette shark) is the source of this 430-nucleotide long non-coding RNA. RefSeq lists it as uncharacterized. The transcript is spliced from 3 exons. The record is from RefSeq and is a predicted model, not a curated record. NCBI's taxonomy places the organism in Eukaryota, Metazoa, Chordata, Chondrichthyes, Orectolobiformes, Hemiscylliidae.